Molecule: long non-coding RNA, 628 nt
Filed under: Homo sapiens (human)
Lineage: Eukaryota; Metazoa; Chordata; Mammalia; Primates; Hominidae
Description: HSALNT0354525
Source: RNAcentral
AAUUUGCAGACCGGGCCUGGGAGUUAUAGAAAUCACUUCCGAAAUUGGUGGGAGGAAAAAGCGAGGUAUGGAGACACGGGGGCGUAUCCCUCUUCCAGAAUUCACGUUCCUUCCUUUGAUGUCUCAAUACAGAUGAGUCUCUCAAGGAAGGACCCAAGAGAUACUCUCUCCCUACCUCCAUGAGGAAAAUGGAACCCAGGGAGAGCAGCAAGCUGAUAGCAGAAUCAGGAUCACAAUGCAGAUUGCAUUGCUUUGCUUGUGAGGAGACCCCUUCAAGACUGCUGAAAAGAAGCCAUCACAUGCCCUUGGCCAGAAGCCUGGCAUAGUGAAAUUCCGAGAGAUAUCAUACAUCAUGCAACCUCAGAAAAGCUCCACUUACAGGAGAGAAUGAGUCUGAAAAAGAACCAUAACAUGCUGGUAUUGCGGUGAAAAUAGUUUUGACCUCGUGAGCUCACUAAAAGUGUUUCAAGGAUACUUGAGGGUCUCUGGACCACAUUUUGAGAACCACUGGCUAAGUUAAAAUAAUAAAGCAAAAUUCAUUUAUGUAUCCAAACAUUAUAUUUCCAUAUGAGUGCUUUCAUUUAGUCCUCCCAACGAACCAAGGAGGUGAUAUGUUAUAUCCAAUUAC